GAUCAUGACUCAGAUUGAACGCUGGCGGCAGGCCUAACACAUGCAAGUCGAACGGUAACAGGAAGAAGCUUGCUUCUUUGCUGACGAGUGGCGGACGGGUGAGUAAUGUCUGGGAAACUGCCUGAUGGAGGGGGAUAACUACUGGAAACGGUAGCUAAUACCGCAUAACGUCGCAAGACCAAAGAGGGGGACCUUCGGGUCCGUCUUGCCAUCGGAUGUGCCCAGAUGGGAUUAGCUUGUUGGG
RNAcentral lists this ribosomal RNA (244 nucleotides) under uncultured bacterium. RNAcentral describes it as "partial 16S ribosomal RNA". It matches the Rfam family "Bacterial small subunit ribosomal RNA", at positions 15 to 253 of the family's 1533-position model. The record is from RNAcentral.